AGUGGUCAGCUCUCGUCUUGUCAACACCUCCCAUCAUGGCACUCAAGGUGUUAAUGAUGUGUACUUUGAUGGUCAACACCUGCCUGGCCUCCCUCCUGCCACGCCUCCCGCAGCACACUCACGACCACACCUACGACUCCACCCCUCACGACCACACCUACCACGACCACACCUACGACACCACCCCUCACGACUCCACCCCUCACGACUCCAC
Molecule: long non-coding RNA, 214 nt
Organism: Homarus americanus (American lobster)
Lineage: Eukaryota; Metazoa; Arthropoda; Malacostraca; Decapoda; Nephropidae
Exons: 3
Source: RefSeq, a predicted model, not a curated record